GACGAACGCUGGCGGCGUGCUUAACACAUGCAAGUCGAACGGAAAGGCCCUGCUCUUGUGGGGUGCACGAGUGGCGAACGGGUGAGUAACACGUGAGUAUCCUGCCCUUGACUUUGGGGUAACUUCAGGAAACUGGGGCUAAUACCGGAUAGGAGCUCCUGCUCCAUGGUGGGGGUUGGUAAGUGUCGGCGGUUGGGGAUGGACUCGCGGCUUAUCAGCUUGUUGGUGGGGUAGUGGCUUACCAAGGCUUUGACGGGUAGGCGGCCUGGGAGGGUUACCGGCCACAUUGGGACUGCGAUACGCACCAGACUCCUACGGGAGGCAGCAGUGGGGAAUAUUGCACAAUGGGCGGAAGCCUGAUGCAGCAACGCCGCGUGCGGGAUGACGGCCUUCGGGUUGUAAACCGCUUUCGCCUGUGACGAAGCGUGAGUGACGGUAAUGGGUAAAGAAGCACCGGCUAACUACGUG
Molecule: ribosomal RNA, 468 nt
Filed under: uncultured bacterium
Lineage: Bacteria
Description: partial 16S ribosomal RNA
Rfam family: Bacterial small subunit ribosomal RNA
Source: RNAcentral